ACCAGCCACUGUCCCUCAGUUCCUUCAGCCCUGGCUGCUAGAGGCUAUGAGAGCCUCACUGGGGUCCCCAGGGACACUGUGGGGAGAGCCUGCCUUGAGCUCGCUGGCCUUGCCUGCAGGCCUGGCCCACAGAUUAAAGGGCUGGCCGCUGCAAACUGCAGCUGAAACCCAGCUGUCCCUGUAAGUCCGCCCAGCCUACUUUCUGAAGCGUGUCAUCUGAACAGGACCCUCAGCUGGCGCGGAGAGGUAAAACACUACUUCAGGGUGACGACUCCUGGGUGCGAACUGCACACGCCCCCAGCGAGCCUCUGCUUUGUCCUGUCCACCCCUCAGUCUGGCGUCUCUCUUUGGCCUCAUCUCCCUCUAGUGCUUUGUUUUCUUUUCCUCUCCCUCUGCGUGCUCUCCCUCUGUGGAGCUCAGUCUCUUUCCAUCUGUCUCCGUCCUUUCUCCAUCUUUCCCCAAUGUUUACCUCUCAUUCUCUCUCCUGUGGUUUCUGUCUCACUGUGUUUCUCUCUCUCUCUCUCUCUCUCUUUCUCUCUCUCUCUCUCUCUCUCUCUCUCUCUCUCUCUCUCUGCCUCUCAGUUGGUUUCUAAGUCCUUCUUAGCCUCUGCUCUCCCUUUCCCUCUGUCUUUUACACCCCUCUGUCUGUCCUGUCUCUGUAUAUCUCUCUUUCAGUUCUUGAUCCUUUGAUUCUCUCUUUGUCUCUCAGACUCUGUUCUGGCCUCUCACAGUCUUUGUCCCUCUGUCUGUCUCUCUGUCUCACAAUCUUUGUCUCUUAGAUUGUCUGACUUCCCCUUAGACUCAGCACUCGCUCGCUCGCUCUCUGUCUCUCUCUUUCUCUCUCUGUCUAUCUCUCAUCUUUGAGUAAAGGUGCCCAGACAAAAUGCCCAGCAAGACCGAAGCCCUCCCAGGGCUCCACAGAAUAGGGGAGGGUGGGCUGCCAGGCUGAGACCACAUGUAAGUCUGGCACAGCAGUUUGGCUAUGAAACUUCCCUUGUGGUCAUAUUAAGAAAGUGCCCAGCAGGGGACAUUCUGGGCAUGGAAAGCAAGUUCCAUCCCCACUCACUUCAUAAGCAGCAGCAAUACACAUCUCCUCUCACCCUGGGGAGCAGAGGAAAGGCAAUUACAGGCUGUGUCAGCUAAUCCUGAAAAACCCCUCCAGAGAGUCAGACACUCUCGUUCCUUGUAUUCUUUGGUCCUUCUUAGUAGCAGGAAAGGCCUUCAGAAACCAGUGUCUAAACAAAAUGCCAGCAAUAAGAUGACAGGUCUGUACUGUCUCUAAAUAUACGGGGGAAGCAGAGCUGGGACUGAGAGAUGGAUAAAGAAUUAAUGAGGAUAUGACUGGUAAACAAUGCAGAACCUUAAAGCUUUUGAAAGGACAGCCGGAGUACUUCUGGCCAUUCAUACCUCUGGCCAAGUGACAACAUUUCCUCCAGAAUAACCCUCUAGCAACCAAUGUAUCAGAGAAAUAAUAAUAGCAUUUCUCUUGAGUCAGAGGUAUUGCCAGACACUCAUCAGAUAUGAUCUUAAUCAAUCCUAUAGAAAAUCCUAGAUAAAUAGUCAUCUCUCCAUUUUACAGAUGGAGAAACUGAGGCUCAGAAAAAUUAAUUGCCCCCCAAAUACACAACUAGUUAGCAGAAGAGCUAAGAUAGAACCUAGGACUGUCAGGCUCCAAGCUGGCAUGCGUCCCCCACUGCCACACUGAAAAAACAGUCUAAUCGUGUGGGGAUGGUUCUUUUCACACCUGAGUGUCCUUUCUGUGGGUGGAUUGGAAAUAGAAACAGUUGGACAUGAUUAAGCAUCAGGUCAAGCUGACCUCCCUUCCUUGCCUGCCAGGCAGCAGGUGGCUUCUGAGCAUGUCCAGAAGCGAUGCUGUUCCAAUUAGCCCAGGUAGCAAAGGACCACAGGGAUGGGAAAGGAGCUUCAGGAAAUAUUCCACUUGGUGCCUCUUCAUCUAAUCAGCACUAAAAGAAAGAUAUUUAAGGCGUAGGAAACCUGCACCCUCAGAGGAUAGGAAGGGAGGGAGGUCCCACUGAAGACUCCUGUGGGUAGCAGGACAUAGAAGAGGUGUGUGUGCCAUGCUGUUGUCAUGUCAGAGAAGACUCUAGAAACAAGGUUGCUUUUCUGUUUUUGUUUUUGUUUUUUAAAAAAGCACUUGGUCCGUUUACCUGGAGACUCCCCAUUACUUCCUUGGUUGGAGAGCCAUGUCUCAUAUCCUGUCACUGCUUCUGUAGACGAAAGGGGGAAAGGGCGGCUUGAAAGACAGCCAGGCAGCGGAACAUGCCACACACACUCAGGGAUAUUUAAACCUGCUUAGGCUCUUGGAGCUAAGUUCUCCCUGCACUGAUCUCAUGGGGUCAAGAUGUGUGUAUCUGGUGCCAGAAUGAGGCUCUGGCCUCAUACAAAAAAAGUUUAUGAGGUUUCAAACAAUUCAUGACUCGGAUUAAAACAAAAGUGAGCCAGACAGUACACACCCAAAGUGGAUUUGGGCCCAGUUGCCAAUUUGACAGACUUUAUUGAAGACAUAAACUAGAUUCCAUUCCAUGCCACAAAUAUUUCUGUAGUUCCUACUGUGUGCCAGUGCUGAGCUAGACACUGAGGAUAUGGAAAUAAACCAGCCAUGCCCUCUGACUUGAAAAAGCCGAUAAUUCUAGGAUGGAGAUCAAAUAGGUACUCAAAGAAAAAGGGUUACUCAGUGUCCAAAAAGUAUUUGGGGGGGGUGUGGCUACUACGUGCCAGACAUCCUGAACUAGGAAUGACUAAAAAGAUGAUCUGAUAACAAAUUUGACCCUCUUUUUUCAUCAAAUAAGCCAGAUUCAAUUCACUUUCAUUAAGGGACUUUUAAAAAUGAUUUUUAAUGCUAUUUUUCUUGCUAGACUAUAAGCAUCCUGGGGACUGGGCUACAGACCUGCAGUGUCCACAGUGUGUCUUCAAUGCUGAGAUUGUGUCUGGUCUCAUGAAUAUCAAGAAAGUCAGGAACCAGGGGACGCUUCUAGGCUCUGGGGGUGGACAUGAGAUGGAGAAGGGGUGGGGAACAAAGGGCCUCCCAUCAAAUUACCCUACAAGACAGAGCAAUAUAACUUUUCCAAGAGAAGUGUCCUCCUUUCCCUCCCUCAUCCACCAACAUGCACAGUCAAUUAAGGACUUGCGGGCCUCAGACUCCCCUGGCUUGCUGCACAUGUUGUGGUUUUCAAGCUGUGGACCACACACACUUCAACCUCCUUCCUCUGCCACCUACACCAUAGAGUCCGGAGAGCCGACAUCCUUACCUCCCCACCCCUCUGGCAGCUGGGGAUGGCCAUGUGAUAUGGUUCUAUCCAGUGAGCUGCUGAUGGAAAUUUCUAGGGAAGGCUUCUCUUUGAGAACAAAAAGACAACUCUUACAAGAAGAAAGUGUUGGAAUUUUGCCCUUCAUACCUCCCCCUCCUUCCUGGGUCCUAAGAGGCACUGGCAACACUUCCUGUCACAGCAGCCCUGAUUUGUCACUAGGGGCUUCUUGCUGUGAAUGAGAAGAUUCCCUUCAUUAUUCAGGCCACUGUAUUUGGGCCUUUGUUAAUGUGUUAAGCACAUUACUGGGCAUGUUCCCAAUGUCAGAGACUUUGCAUUCAUCAGCCACCACACAAAUAGGAAGAAAUAACUAACAUUUAUUGAACAAUUACUUUGUGCCAGACUUGUUUUCUGAGCUGUUACAAAUAUCAACUCUUUACUCCUUAUGUUAGCAUCAGUCCCACUUUAUAGAUGAAGAUUUGGGUUUGUAGAGGCUGUUGGUAAAGGGCAGAGCUCUGGCUGAUCUCUUCCCCACUGCCUGUGAGGAAGAAACCAGAAACUUUUUCUGUGGAAAAAACAAAUCCCUUUGGAUGUAAGCCACAUUUGAGCUGUCUGGGGGGACAUUGAGGAGGUAUUUAUGAUAUUGGGAGAAAACCGGGAGCCAAAGGUACAAGGAUGUUUUAGGGAGAUGUUAGGUACUGGGAAUUGAACCAAGGGAUGCUCUACCUCUGCGCUACGUCCCCAGCCCAUUUUAUUUUUGUUUGUUAUUUUGAGACAGGGUCUCACUAAGUUGCCCAGGAUGGCCUCAAGCGGUGAUUCUCCUGCCUGAGUCUCCAGAGUUGCUGGGAUUACCGGUGCACACCACCAUACCUGGCUCAAAAGUCAAAGGACCUUUGAGGAAGGGUGAGAAUGACUGGGUUUGCCUGCUGCAGGGCCCAGGGAAGAUAAAUCCAGGCCUUUCCAGAAUGGAAAGCCCUAUUUACCACUGUGUUCCCCUAGCACUUGGUCUCAUUUCUCAAGGAAAUAGGGGCAAAGGAGCACCACACUCCAAGGUAAAUCCCAGCUCUGGAAGAUAGCUCAAUAAAGGCUCACCUAGCUUAAUUAAAAUGUGCCAUACCUGGGUGCUGAGCUUAGUUUUAAAGAGAUAUGAACAUCAGAACCCUGGCAUUCACAGGCAGCCAGUUCCUUCCUGAAGAAUUUCCACUAAUCUCUUUUCCAGGAAUAGACCUUGGCUCCCAGGCAGUGUCAGUGAGUUCAAGGCACAGCUUGACUCCAGCCCUCUCACCAACAAAGCAAAACGACCUAGCUGUAGGCAAUAGAUGGAGCCUUCUUGAGGCCACCACACCAGGACAGUUUCCGUGGUCUGGGAUCUUUGGAACCCUCCCUGCUCAAGUACCUGGGCAUUAGAGGUUUGAGGGAGAAAGAGGUGGCACUAAGGGACAACAGAAGUUCACAGACAUAGCUGAACCUUCACCACUCUCUGUUGCUUCCUCCAUCCACCCUUCUGUGGCAGCCUCCCCACUUCAGCUGCCCUCGAUCAGGCUUUGAUUCUUCCUGGAAAUGAUCGCCACUGAAAUAGAAGAUGUAAUUUGUAAAAUACCCUGUUCAGAUUUGCAUCAAAAUUAGACAGAAUAGGAGAGUGGGGGGAGUUACAGAUGAAUCAGCGUUGAAUCCCAGUUGAUAAAUUAAAAGCUCCAUGAUGGCAUUAGUUAUAAGAGCCCAGAAGUGGAAGCAACCCAAGUUAUUGUAUCUAUCAACAGAUAGACAUAAAUAAAAUGCAUUACAUAUAAUGAAAUAUUAUUCAGCCUUGAAAAGGAAGGAAAUUCUGACAUAUGCUACAACUGGAUGAGCUUUGAGGACAUUUUGCUAAAUGAAAUCAGCCAGUCACAAAAAGACAAAUAAUUUAUUAUCUCAUUAAAGUACUAUCUCAUUUAUAAGAAAUACCUAGAAUAGUCAAAUUCUUAGAGACAAAAAGUAGAGUAGUGGUGGCCAGGGACUGAAAGAGGGGGGGAAUGGGAACUUGUUUAAUGAACAUAGAGUUUCAAUUCUGCAAAAUUAAAAGAGUUCUAGAGAUUGGUUGUACAAAAAUAUGAAUGCACUUCAUACUACUGAACUAUAUUCUUAAAAUGGCUAAGAUAGUAAAUUUUAUAGUACAUCUAUUUUACCACAAUUGAAACUUCUAUAGUUUUAACAUUUAAAAAAAUUUUUUAAUGCUGAGUGUUGUGCACAUGAGUAUUAUUAUCCUGUUUGUCUACACUUCUAUAUGCAUUUGAAAUUGUCUAUAGUAAAAAGCUAAAUGUGCUCUAUACAUUAUUAGUCAGGGUUCUUCAAAGAAACAGAAUAGGAUAGAUAUAAGACAAGAUUUACUAUGAGAAUUGGCUCACACAAUUAUGGAAGGCAACAAGGCCUAUGAUAUGCCAACUGAAGACUGGAGAACCAGGAAAGUUGGUGAUGUAAUUCAGUCUGAAGGGCUCGGGACUAAGUUCCUAAUGCAUGAAUCUUUGGGGAACAAACCACAUCCAAAUAUCAGCUACUGAUUCCAAUGCUAAUCUCUCCUAGAAACAUCCUCCCAGACACUCCCAGUAAUAAUGUUUUACCAACUAUCUGGGUAUCCCUUAGCCCUGUCAAGUUGACACAAAAUAAGCCAUCCACAAUAUUCAAUACUAACAAAAACCACAUUUUAAAAGUCUAGUAACAAAUUUAAGAAAUGUGCACAGCUACAUAAUACAUUAAAAUCAUUACUAAAGGAUAUAAAGGAGGGGUUUUUAAAAUUUUUUUCUUUUGGUACCCCGGAUUGAGUCCAGGGGUGCUUAACCACUGAACCACAUCCCAAACCCUUUUUUAUUUUUUUAGACAGUAUCUCACAAAGUUGCUCAGGGCCUUGCAAAAUUGCUGAGGCUGCUUUGAAUGUGUAAUCCUCCUGCCUCAACCAUCCGAGCCACUGGGAUUACAGGUGUGCACCAUCAGACCCAGCUCUGAGAUGUUUUUUAUACCAUCAUAUUGUCUAGAAUUAAAAUUGAUGAGAAAAAUAAUGGGAGCCCCUAAAGGAUGGAGGUAAUACAAAUUGCCAAAUGGCCAAAAAGCUGCCUUAGCUUCCUGAGUUGCUGGGAUUUCAGGUGUGUGCACACACAAUGUCCAUUUCUUCCAUAUUUAUUUACAAAUUUAGUUCAAUCCUAUUCAAAAAGUCAACAAGAAACUAAUGUAAAAGAGCAGCCUGAUUGUAAUGUUCAUCAGGAAGGGGAACUGCAUAAGAAGAGCCAAGAUGAAUUUGGGAAAUAUAACAAGGAGGGAAACACAUCUCUUACCAGGGAGCCAAGUUUCCUUUAACACCACGGUAAUUACUAUUGGAAGGUAGAGCCACAGGAGCUACUUGACAUCAGGGAUCAGAAAAACUGAACAAAGUGUGACAUUCCAUUCCAUUCAAAAAGGUGAGACCCACAUGAUAAGAAAAACCAAGUGGAGUAUGAAGGAACAGGGGAUUCUGGGACAGCAGCAACUUAACUUAUCUGUCCACUUUCUUUCCAUACAUCACCCAGCUCCUACCCAACUCUUCUUCCAAGACAAGUAGUCGCCAAAGUCAACAGGCAGGCAUGAGCCUGGAGGAAGUAUGCUGGAGUGGUGAAGUGGGGCUUUCUCCCUCUAAGACAUGCUGGAUGAGCCACUGAAGCAAGUGAGACUCCAGCCACAUAAACAUGCUCAAGCUUCCCCAGUCCCUCAAAAGCUAAGGAGGAACUGAUUAGCUGAGCCAAGGUUGCUGUAUCUUUGAGGCUCUGAGUCCCAGGAACAGAAAGCUCUUCCUGCUCAACAGGGCAUUGCCUACCUGUUUGCCUGUCCUUUCAAGGACUUUCAGGGACCCACACCAUCAGGCAAAGAGAGGAAACAACCUAGUUAAGAAAGAGGCCAGCAGCCACAGGGGAGGAGCUUACCGUACACCCAGCACUGUCAUCUAAAAAGUGGUCGGAGGAGACAAAGGAUGAUUUCAACAACAGAAAGAGCUCAGCAAAAAUGUCCCGAAACUAACAACCAUGCCUUUUUAAUAAUAAAGAGAAAUGAAGUGGAUGACUCAAGGGCAAGGAUAGUCAGGGAUAUGAUUUGAAUUGUAGUUUGGAAGAUAAUGUGCAAGAAAUAUUGCAAACCCUGGGCAAAAUGCAAAGAUAUAUAAAUCAAGAUGAAAGAUAAAAGAGAUAGGGAGGGCAGAUUUAGAAGAUCUAACAUGAGACUAAUUACUGAGUCCCAGAGGAAAAAAAGAACAAAAAGAGAUUGGAAUAACAGAUACAGACUCCUAGAGUAUAAAGACUGUCGCCUAGCAAUCCCAUCUCUAGCCAAGUUGUCAUUCACCCAUAGGAGUUAAAUAUAAAUACACACACACAAAAUCUCUGGAUAAAUUUAUAUACACAUAUAUGUAUAUAAAUAUUCAAAAAUCCAAAGAUGAUAUUGCUCAAUGCAUUCUGGAAGAAAACAGUUUUUUAAAAAACUCAAACCAAAAUCAAAUGACUUAUAACAGAGAAUAUAAAAUAGAGGAAAAAGGAGAAAGCAAUCAAUUAUACUUAACUAUAUCUAUAUAAAUACAUAUAUAUAUAUAUAUAUAUAUAUAUAUAUAGUUGAUGCAGAUAUAUAUAAAUAGUUGAUGCAAACUAUAUAUAUUAUACUUAACUAUAUAUAUAGUUAUAUAUAUAGUUGAUGCAAACUAUAUAUGUAUAUAUAUAUACACCAUGUAUCUAACACACACACACACACACACACACAUAUAUAUAUAGUUAAGUAUGAUUGAUGAUUGAUUGCUUACUCCUUUUUAUAUAUAAAUGUAUAGAUAUGUAUUGUUAAAUAUAAAUGGAUGAUGAUAGACUGUCUGGAAAUAUGUAAUAUUAAAAAGGAUUCUUAAAAUAGAGGUGAAAUAUCACAAAUGAAAUACUAAUAAGAUUCAUAAAGAAAAGUACUAAGCAAUUUCAGCAAAAUCUAGGAGUUGGGGGCAGGGCAUGCUAAGUAAAAAAUAUCUUAUAAACUGUUGGGGUAAGAGGGAAAAAACUUGGACAGUAAAAGCAUUCUCAAUAUCUUAUUGGUGGAAGAAAGAAUGCAUGGAGGAAAUAAUAGAAACAGAGUUUCUAAGCGGGGGAACUGUAGCUUACAUGACUAUACUGCUAAAGGAAUAAUUUGAUUAUGAACACCUGGAAAGUAAGGGGGUCAUAAUCCUUAAGGAAAUGGUAAGAGCACAGGGGAAUGUGCACAUUAACUAGGAUGGAAACAAACAGCAAUUUGAGUAAACCAGUGUAAAAUUAAGGGAGAGAAGCAUGGAGCCCUGAGCAAGUAUUUAGUUCAGUGUUGCUGUUAUGGCAAAAUCCAAAACAAGCUAAAUGUCCAUCAGUAAAGGGCUAGUGAAGUGAAUCUUGGUACAUUCACACUAUGGGGUCUGUAUCUAACAUAGAAAAAAGUAAAAAGAUAUCUUUCAAACUGUAGAAUAUAGUGCAAAGCCUACCGUUUUUAUAACAAACACACAAAGCUAUAAAUUGUGCCUGCAUUGUAUGAGUAUGUAAAUGGCGUAGGGACGAGAAUUGGAGACUAGGAAAAGGAAUUUUAGUUUUAUCUGUAUUAUUUGAGUGUUUUACAAUAAGAAUGUAAUUGUGAAUUACAUAUGUAUAAUUAAAAUACAUUUCUCACCCAUAAAAUGAAGGAAGACCUUCAUGUUUUGAAGGGUGAAUGCAUACAUUAAUCCACUUAUUCAUGGGUAGGUACUACAGCCAGCCGCUAUUGGGGAGGAAAACAUGAAUCUGGGACAGGUGAGUCCUGGAGGCGCUCUCUGCCUGGGAGACAAGACUUGUAAAUCAGAAGUUAAAUGUGUCAGCGAAAUACGAUCUGACAUAUAUGUCACAGGAGGCAUCCAAACAAAUGCUAUGGAGUUUGUGAGAGGUGAUUAUGUUCAGAGAGGAAAAAAAAGGCAAGAUGGAUUUCACGGACAAAGCAGCACGUGUGUAUGAGUGUGUGUGUGUGUUGUGUGGUGCAUAUGGGGUGUGUAUGUUGUGGGCACAGACUCAAAUACACGUGUCGACAGGGGCUGGGAAAGAGCAACAGGCAGGCUAGGAGAGGAAGAGCCUCAGUGGGCACCAUGUGCAAGAGCGCCUAUGAGGGGUGAACUUGGGAACCAGGGAGGGUAGUGGACACUGGAGUUUGGUUAGCUGGAUGGUGGGAGGGGAGAGAGAGUAGGAAGUGUUCAAACCAGACAGGAAGGCCAUGGUAAAAGUGUUCAUUUAUGAAGCUAACAUUUCCCUAGUGACAACUGUGUACCUGGCCCUAUCUCCUCAAGAGUUUCACUGUCUUAUGGAGGAAGAAGGGAAGUUGUCUGAGAACAACAGUAAAUAAAUGAUUUCAUAUUUUAAAAUAACUGCAAUGCUACAUGCUUGAUUACAGAAUAAAGACAGUUGGGCCGAGAGGUUUGGAUUUAAUGUAUAAGGUGAUGGGGGGCUUGAUCCAUUUCAGGCGUCUCACCAUGGCAGUGUGAGCAGAGUGGAUUAGCCGGGGAGGGAGCCGGAGCAAAGUGACCAUAAUGAAUCUUGACAGAGGAGGUCAAGGUGAUGGUCUGGACCAGAAGCCUAUAUAAGGGAGUGGCAGGGAGGGGAGUGGUAAACAACAGGUCUGAGCAAUACAGCCAGGGCAGGAUUGUCAGUUCAGUUGCAGAUGUGCUUCCUGUGAAGUAUUUGUGGGACACUCAAGCAGAGGUGCAUAUUAGGCUAUUGGAUAAAGGGAAUUCGGGAUGGUCAUCUAGCUGGAGAUAAUGACAGAUCUGGGAGUCCCUGUUUCUGGGUGAAAAACAAAACAUGGAGAAAUCAGCCAAGGUAAGCACCUGGCAUGGAUGAGGAGAGGUGGCUCUGGGAAGCCAACAAUGGGAAAAUAGCUGGGGAAAGGGUCUCAAUUACCAGGAAGAUCACAGAGGCAGCUCCUCCCCAAACCUGGGCUCCUACAGGCCAAGGGUGGGAGGCCCUUUGAUUUGGCUUGUGUCGCUACCUCUGGGAGCUGAUGGCUGAGGCUAAAGCAAGAAGGGAGGGCAUCUGCUUCAGCAUGCAGGAGGGAUGGAUGUACGCUGGGAACUUGGGGUGGCUAAAAUACUCAAGGAGUCACUGCAGCCUCUGUUAGAAUCGUCACAUCCAUGGUGAUUGCACUCUGCCCACUGGCCUUCAUACUGCUCUUCACUGGCUUCCCCCACAAAAGCUUGCCUGAAAGUACAGAUCCCCCAGGUCAGAGGAGAGGGAAAUGAGGCCCACACUCUGCCACGUGGACAUGGGUACAGGAUUUUGCCUUGAGUGAGUCGUGGUGUCCACUGUCAUGCAUUUGUGGUGGGUGUCAGGCAUGUUCUAUAACCUCAGAUUUAAGGCUUCUUUGAUACUGAUUUUGUUUUUAUGGUACUCAGUUGGGUUUUUUUUUUCCCUGUGAAUAAAGGGAAAACUGAAUCUGGAGGUCAAGGCUUCCAUAAUUUGGUUCCCUGCGACUUAGUUGUGCCUGCCGUCUUCAGUUCCUGCCUCCUGAUCACACUCCACCCCUCUCUAUGCUGUCCUCUACCCUGGGAGGCUGACCUAUCUAUAGAGGCCUCCUGCUUAGAUUGGGCUCAGGCAACGGGAGUUCUGGAAGGACGUCUACAGAGAGAGAACUGUGAAGUCAGGGUAUUUAUUUCUCGGAAUCCUAAGUGUGGAGCCUAGUUUUACAGGCCAAAGCCUGCAAUUUUAUUAGCCUGUAAUUAUAAAUAAAAUGCUGGGUCCAAAAGUGACUGUCUAUUUAGUCUAAGAAGUCACAAGAAACUUCAGAUUUUUAAAGGCUGACAAACAACACAGUUAUGGUAAAAUGCAGAAAAAUAAUGUUUCUCAAUUGCCUGAAAAAUAUUUAUAAAACUUUUUUCCAUAUCUUUUAGCUUACAACUUUGAAGUAUAAUUUUCUGGGAAAAGAACAGAAGUAUAAUCCAGUCUUUAGUAGUAGAUUUGUUUGACAAUUCAUUUCUUUUAUCAUUGGUCAUUUUGAGCUGUUUCAGUUUCACAACUUCUUGUUUGUAACAUCGUGUAAAAUUUUGAAAUUGUUUUCAAAUUUGGAAAGACCAUCACCAUCCUCCAUCUAUAACUAAGAUUUAGGAUCUCUCUGUUUCUCUCUUUCUUUUGUACCUUUGAAUUAGUGACACUUAUAAGCUAGUUCAAUGUCCCCAUUAUACAUGUGGCACCUUGUGAAUUUGAUGGUACUGUGGGGCACUGCCCAGAUCACCUUUUCAGGCCAUUGUUUAGCUGCUGGGAUUAUCAGAUUUACUGGGGCCACAUGGCUGGUCUGUUCCUCCCAACCCCGAUGUCCUCAUUUCCUCACAUGUGUAUCUGCUGAGAACACUCCACCACAAACAGUCUGCAUACAGUUUUCCAUCUCAUAGUCAGUUUUGGGGAAACCCAAUCUAAGAUACCUUGAAAGAUGUUGUAUUCUGUAUCAAAGCAGCAAAAAAUGUCAGACUUUCCCCAGUGAGUUCAUAUGCUUUACUUUUUCUCAUCAUUAAGUUUAUUGCCAGGUACAGUGGCAUAUGCCUGCAAUCCCAGCUACUUGGAAUGCUGAGGCAAGGGGAUCACAAGUUCAAGGUCAGCCUAGACAACUUAGUAAGUACCUUUCCCUCCAGAAAAAUGGAGGGUCAGGAAGGAGGGUGAGUACUGGGGAUGUAGCUGAGUUGUACAGCACUUGCCUAGCAUGUGCAAAUUCUGGGUUUAAUCCUCUGUGCUGAAAAAAAAAAAAAAAUAUAUAUAUAUAUAUAUAUAUAUAUAUAUAUAUAUAUAUAUAUGAAUAUCUUGAUUUUGCAAAAAAAAAAAAAGAAAAUUUAAAAAAAUGUUUCGCAUGUGAACACAUUGCUAGGUACCUCACAGGCCAUGGAGGAUACCUGUGUAAGUGUGGGGCCCUGAAAUCUAAAUUUCACCAGCUUCACUGCCCUUCCAGUUUACCUCCAGCUGACUGGGCCCUUGGACUGAACGCCUCUGUUCAGUCUAAGGCAGCUGCUGUGCAUGACAUUGUUCUAGUCAUUGCUCUUUGUGCCUACAGGUACUAACACCUUGGCUCUAGGUCCAAUGUACUGCACGCACUAUUCUUUGUGAUUUCCUUGCUCCCAUAUCCUCCUGGAACCAUCUAAUUAGGAUGUACCCUUUGUUCCUUGUUGGGACCCUGACAGGUCAUCAAUCCCUCCUCCCCAACGAGCAGCUGACUCUUCCCAUCUUCAUGCCAACCCCAGGUCCAUUCAUUGUUCUGAGCCUUGGCUUACCCCAUCCUCCUACCCAGAAUGUAGUCCUGGGCAAAUUCUAUCCAUCCUUUCAGACCCAGCCCUGUCCUGUCCUCCUCCUAGGCAGUGUGGUUCUCAGGAAGACCUGAAGGGUCAGUGGACAUCUGAGCUUUAAUCUGAGCAGUGUCCGUCUUGCAGAAACUCCAGGGCAGGGAGACGGGUUCCUGAAGAUAUCGAUUUCAUAAUUAACCCUCCGAGAAGGAGGCUUUUUAAGAGAUCUUUCCUGGAGACAAGAAUCACUGCUUAGCCUGCCACUUAGACCCUGUCAAAGUGAGGAAGAGUCUUCCCUCCCCUGGGUGAGUGGACUGGGAUUCCCUGAGUCGUGACAGUGGGAGUGAUUAAAAGGGAGGCUGGCCACAUGCCCUGCACAAAUCAUUUCCAGCUGCGGUGCCCGAGGGAUUCUGCAGGAAUGUAGGGUAGGGCACAAAUUCAUCCUUCUCCCUGGGCCUGUUUUAGAGAAGAAAAUUGUGUCAGACCUAGAGAAAGGGGCUUCUGGGAAAAUAAUGGAGAGAACAGCAGUCAUGCCAGAGGUAGCAGAGCCCAGGUCUCCUUCUCUCAGGCUCUGCGAAACACCUCAUGCAGGAAAUAGAAGCACCUCUCUAUUAAUGGGAGCAAGUGAUGGCCACCCCCUAGAAAAGGAGGCCAGGGAAGGAGCGAGGAAGGAGUGGGCUUCUAAUCUUUUCUCCAGAAGGCAGAGCAGCCCGGGGAGAGUUUGCUGGCUCCCCUUAAGGAGAUGGCAUGGGGCCAAGUAAAUUCCUGGGGUGGAAAAAUGGAUAUAAGAUUUUGGCCAGAGAGGAGGUUCUUGUCACCAAGAAUGCAGGGAAUCUGCUUAGUAUUGGGGCACUUCAGAAAUAACAAUCCCCAAACGAAGGGAUUUUCAAACCAGGAAAUUCCCCAGAUGUCUGGGAAAUAUGUGCUGUGGUUUAAAUCUAUCCAUCCAAAGUUCAUAUUUGGAAUUUUAACUCCUCAGUGUGUCACUGUUGGGAGAUGGGUCUAUUGCAAGGUGUUUGAAUGAUUCUCCAAUGAAAGACCUCUUACUCCCUUAGGAAUGGAUUAGUUACAGAGAGAGCAGUUGUUAAAAAACAUGGCCACCUCUCAUGUUUUGCCUCUUUGCACGCACCCACUUGCCCUUUUGCUUUCCAUGUGAAAUGAAGCAUCAUGAAACCCUCACCAGAAGCUGAGCAGAUGCCACCAAAAUGCUCUUUGGUUUCCUAAUCUCCAGAAGUGUGAGCCAAAAUUAACAUCUUUUAUUUAUAAAAUACCCAAUCUCUAGUAUCCUGUUAUAGCAACAGAAAACAGACUAAGACAGUAUACCUAUAUAAAGGUAAGGAAGUAAUUGAUUCCCUCUUGGCUCUCCACAUAUGAGUGUGUGGGGCUGGGGAAUGGUAGUCAGUAGAAAAUAUAUAUAUUAUGUAUAUAAUGUAUAUGUGUGUAAAUAUUACACAUACAUACAUAUAUGUAUAUUAGAUGUGUGUAUAUAUAAUACUUAUAUUUGUUACUUAUAUUCCACAUAUAUACCCUAUGUGUGUGUAUAUUCCACAUAUAUUAAAUAACAUAUAUGUAUGUGUUCAUAUAUAUCAUAGUCAAUGGACUGUAAUACUAAAAAUUAGUGGAAAGAACAUUCCAUGCUGACCACAGGCAACAGAUCUGUGACUUAGAUCAGUCUCCAUGGCUAAAACUGUGGCCUCCAACAAACCAACUUUACAUUCUAAGCCUGAGUGUUCUGAUUUAUAAAAUAAGAUAAUUGGACUAAAUGAUCUUUAUUAUCUUCUUUAAUUGUAAAAAUUCUAUGAUUCUAGUAAAACCAGUCACAGGUCAUUGAGAGAAUAAACCAUUUUUUGGUUGUUCAAGUAAGCUCCAGGAAGCGACAGUAUGUGGCCCCUCAUCUCAAUUUUGCCCCUUCCAUCUGUGUGAGCUUAGAUAUGUUGUCAUGCCUCUCUGAGCCUCAGUUCAGGAAAGCACACAGAGGGCAUUGCCUGAUCUCUUCCAGGCUCCCAUGGUCAGAUCUGGUCUCUCAUUCUGCUUUGUGGUACAAAAUCAAAACUGGGUUCUCACCAUGUCAACUUCAGCUGAGGAAACAGGUGUUUCUGAGCCUUCUCCCCUAGGCACCCUAUCCCACAUAAACAUUUGUCAUCGUAUUUUCUGACUUAGAACAUACCUCAGAAUAUAAUCUCCUGGGGCUUAAAUGGAGCAGAAAGACACCAAGGAUGAAAGUAUCUUGGGGUUUCCUAUAUUUGGCCUCUCAUAACCUUCUUAAGCUCAGUCUCACUCCCUGGCCCUGUUCUUCCCAAGGAGUGCCUCAAGAUUGACAGAACAGUUGGGUUUGGUGGCACAUUCCUAUAAUCCCAGUGAUUUAGGAGGCUGAGGCAGGAGGAUCACAAGAGGAAAAGACCCUAUCUCCUUCUGGAAAUUUUCCAUGAUCCUGAAUUCUGGAACCAGAAACAGCUGUCCAUAGAGUCUCAAUCUUCAGACUGGAAUCCGUCCACCCUUAAUACUAAUUUUUUUGGUAAUAGAACAUGACACAUCACUUCCUUAAACUUGGGAGCUGGAGAGAAGGGUGCUUUCACCAGGAAAUAAGUAGAACAGGGAAAGCCUAAAGGCCUUGUCUCAAAGCACUGGCUUUAGAUCAAGUAAACUCAAGUUUGAUUCUCACUUGAUUACAUUUCAACUGUGACCUUGUGUACAUUACUUAACUUCUCUGAACUCAAUUUUCUCUAUUAAUACCUACCUCCCGGCAAAAUCAUGAGUUUUACACAUACUAAUCCAUAGAGCAAUGAUCUUAGUGCAAUAGCUUUCAUGUGUCUGGGGAUCAGUACAUUUUAGUUCUUUCCCUUUCCCCUUCUUUUCAAAAAAUAUUAUGAGAAAAGUGACAAGCCAUCAAGGAUUAGCUCAGUAGCAUCAGGGAUCCAUUGCAGCAGGCAUGUACCAGUUCUGCAGCCUAUUAUUAUCCCACAUACUCCCAAACCUCUCUGAUCUGGUCACCCGGAACCACCCACCCAUUCUCAAGUCACUCUGCAUUGUUGCUUCCACAGUUCUCUGCCUGGAUCACCUCCCCCUCCCCAUCUCUACCUAAGUCAGCUUCAUUUUUCAAGGCCCCAUUCAAAUGCCACAUUAUGUGGGAAGCACUCCCUUGAUCCUAACUGGAAGGAAGCAGCAUCAAUUCUGAGUCACCACCAUUCUUGCUGAAUCUUUCAUCAUAUUUCCCCUCUACAAGAAAGAAGUGGUGGUGCUCCUACCACCACCCCUCCAGCGAUCGAAGCUCUCUGACAAUGAAGAAUGCUGUUCAUGCGUCAUCUAGGAAGCCCUCAGAAGAGUGCCCUGCACAGAACAGAAACUCAGCAACCAUCAUUGACUGAAUAAAGGAAUAGAGAUGGAUUUAUUUGAAAUAGAAGAUGAGAAAGAUAAACCGUAGGUCUUUGGAAAGGGAACAGAAAAGAGAAAUUACACUAUUUUGCUUACCUAUUGUAUGAGAUGGAUAUUGUGACUGCUGAUUCACAGAGGUAGAAACACAGGCACGGUGUUGGGGGCAAAGUUAUGGGCUGACCACUGUUCCCAGUGUUUGGACAUGUCAUUUCAUUUAAUAUUCACAGCAACUAUUCUGAAGUACUCUUAUCCUUGCUUUGUGAAUAAAGAAACUGAGGCUCAAAGAAGUUAUGUAUAUAACCUCAGUUUACAAAGCUCAUCUCAAGCUGAGAGGUAGGGAGGACUAAAUGUAUCCAUUGCACCUCAGAUGUACACCAUCACUGAUUAUAUGUCCUCUAGAACCCCAAAUUCCAUUGAAGAAACAGAAGCAAACAAAAACUUGCCAAGUCAAAGAUCUCAUGGGGGUGGGGGUCAGGUGUUCUUUUCAUUUAUCUCCAUUUCUUUUAAACAGGUAUUCAAAUAGUUCAAAGUGAAAAGUUCUACCAGGACUAUUUUUCUCUAAAUGUUGCCACUCCUCCAUGCUCCCUGUUCCCAGGAAAGCUGGUCCCCAUCCUGUACCUAGUUCCUACUAUUCUGAGUGGAGGGGUCCCAAAUGUGCCUGCUCAGGGUCUGCUUCAUACCUGCUCAUAAAGCCAUGGAAAGGCUUUCGGUCUGCUCCUGGCCAGACUGGGGCCCAGCUGGCAGCUGGUAUUCCCUCCCACUCUCCUUCCUGGCUGGCUCAGCAGCACCCAGGGUUCGCUAAUAUAGCAGGCCUGAGGCUCAGCCGUUCCUGUGGCAUGAGCAGUCUUCCUCAUAGCCUCUGGUACGGGUCACCUCCCCUUUGCCAGAGAGGUCCAUGGUGGACGUGCUGGCUUUGGCUCUUAACAGGCCUUCUGCAUUUCCCAUAAGAUCCUUCAGGAACUUCUGAGCCAGGCUAUGUAGCACCAGGUGACAGCUAGACCUGCUCUCUCAGACUCUUCUCUGCUCCAGGAGGCCACCCCAGGUCCCUACAGGGCUAUUUGGAGGGCAGUCCAGGUAGUCUCUUCCUGGGUAUGGGUAUUUUUUUUUCUUUCUUUUCUUGUGUUUAUGCAUGUGUGUAUGUGUGUAUGCAUGUACUUUGUACAUGCUAGGCACACCCUCUACCACUGAUCUAUACUCCCGUCUCCCCCUGGAAAUUUUAAGUAGGAAGGGGUACAAACCACCUCAGAAAUUUCCAACUAAACUGACUUCUAAUCCUUCCCUUCAGGAAAUUGCAUGGAAAUGGAAGGAGACCCUCAGAGUUAUACAAAAGUACAUACAAGAGGAAGUGAGGGGAAAGGGAAAAAUAAUACAAGGGGGACAAAUGACUG
RNAcentral lists this long non-coding RNA (17294 nucleotides) under Marmota monax (woodchuck). The record is from RNAcentral. Lineage: Eukaryota; Metazoa; Chordata; Mammalia; Rodentia; Sciuridae.